UACGUAGGGGGCAAGCGUUGUCCGGAAUCAUUGGGCGUAAAGAGCGUGUAGGCGGCCCGGUAAGUCCGCUGUAAAAGUCAAAGGCUCAACCUUUGAAUGUCAGUGGAUACUGCCGGGCUAGAGUCCGGAAGAGGCGAGUGGAACUCCUGGUGUAGCGGUGGAAUGCGCAGAUAUCAGGAAGAACACCAACGGCGAAGGCAGCCCGCUGGGACGGUACUGACGCUGAGACGCGAAAGCGUGGGGAGCGAACAGG
RNAcentral lists this ribosomal RNA (253 nucleotides) under uncultured bacterium. RNAcentral describes it as "partial 16S ribosomal RNA". It matches the Rfam family "Bacterial small subunit ribosomal RNA", at positions 524 to 776 of the family's 1533-position model. The record is from RNAcentral.